Molecule: non-coding RNA, 105 nt
Organism: Acanthosepion pharaonis
Lineage: Eukaryota; Metazoa; Mollusca; Cephalopoda; Sepiida; Sepiidae
Source: the annotation of a GenBank genome assembly
GCCACAUCAUGUUGAAACAUCAGUUCCCAUAGGAUCACUGAAGUUAAGCAACAUUGAGCCUGGUCAGUACCUAGAUGGAUAACUGAGAAUACCAGGUGCUGUAAG